RNAcentral lists this long non-coding RNA (219 nucleotides) under Elaeis guineensis (African oil palm). RNAcentral's name for it is "long non-coding RNA (EGUI_LNC065474)". Lineage: Eukaryota; Viridiplantae; Streptophyta; Magnoliopsida; Arecales; Arecaceae. The record is from RNAcentral.
UACUGUAAGCGAAUUCCAUCCAAGCUUCUACUGUAAAUGAAUUCCUUCUGAACUUCUAUUACAGGCGGACUUCAGUCGAGCUUUUUCAAUAAGCGGUCCCCAUCCGGACUUCUACAAGAACUGGACUCCGUCUGAACUUUCAUAGCGGAUGGAUUCUAGAUGAACUUCUACAAUGGAUGGGCUCCAGUAGUCAGAUUUCUAUAAUGGCCGACCAUCUCC